UACAGGGGGUGCAAACGUUGCUCGGAAUCAUUGGGCGUAAAGCGCGUGUAGGCGGUCCGGUAAGUCCGCUGUGAAAGCCGGGGGCUCAACCCUCGGAUGCCGGUGGAUACUGUCGGGCUUGAGUACGGAAGAGGCGAGUGGAAUUCCUGGUGUAGCGGUGAAAUGCGCAGAUAUCAGGAGGAACACCAAUUGCGAAGGCAGCUCGCUGGGACGUUACUGACGCUGAGACGCGAAAGCGUGGGGAGCAAACAGG
Molecule: ribosomal RNA, 253 nt
Filed under: uncultured bacterium
Lineage: Bacteria
Description: partial 16S ribosomal RNA
Rfam family: Bacterial small subunit ribosomal RNA
Source: RNAcentral